Molecule: long non-coding RNA, 960 nt
Organism: Dreissena polymorpha
Lineage: Eukaryota; Metazoa; Mollusca; Bivalvia; Myida; Dreissenidae
Exons: 4
Source: RefSeq, a predicted model, not a curated record
UGGGAUUUUCCAUUUUCUGUCGAGUCAAGCGCUUCAUCUUAGCAAAUGAAGGGGAAAUAACGAUGAAAUCGACGUCAAAUCCCGUAUUUUCAGAAGUCAACGAAAGGGAGAGGAUCCCCAUACCGUGAAUUUCUCGAUGUCCAAAACUGCAAUUACGAUCGCACAUUGUCGUUGUAAAGCAGGGGUGCACGCAGCAGGAUCACGUGACUUUGUUGGGUUCCCAAUGAAACGUUUAAGGAUGUAAACACACAGACUUCUACGAAAAACCCGAAAACGUAUGACGAAUGUUCAAGUAUAAGUAAUGACAAAUUUACUAUUAUGAGUAUAGAAAUCGUGUCAUAAACAACUCCCUACGAUUGAAAAGCAAAUAUGGCUGGAGAGGUACCGCCGGUAGGCAUCGUCGUUCUUGGACGUAAACAUGUAGGAAAAACAAGUUUAAUCAAAGCUCUGUGUGGAUUGAAACAACACUUGGAAUGCGCUUCUUCCAGUGUGGAGCCAGUGUUAUACCCAUAUCCGAAAAACAAGGCGAUUGUUUUUUGGGACUUUCCUCCCUUUGGAAGCGACGAUGUAUCCAAUGAUGCAUCCACGGCUAGUGUCCAAGGAAUUAAAUUAGAUACCGAACUUUACGAAUGUGCUCUGCUUGUGUGCGACGAUGAACUCGCCGAGUUAGAUAAAUCAAUGCUCGAACAGGUUUUGAAGUUGAAAUUUAAAAGAGUAGUAAUUGUUCGUAAUAAAGUGAACGCUAGUAUAGAAUUUGAUCGUACUCGGUGUCUUGAGAACCACAGCCCCGAUCACGUGUUUUCUCAGUGCAUAUAUGGCACAGAAGAGUAUUUUGAAGCUUAUAAGCCUGACAAAAUCUUUGUGUUGGACACGUUUGACACAGACAAGUUCCAGUUCAAUGACCUUGACAUCUAUCUUCAAAGCGGCGCUGGCUAUAACAGAGCAAAUCCUGACCGAUCG